Molecule: long non-coding RNA, 1927 nt
Filed under: Malus domestica (apple)
Lineage: Eukaryota; Viridiplantae; Streptophyta; Magnoliopsida; Rosales; Rosaceae
Description: long non-coding RNA (MDOM_LNC019759)
Source: RNAcentral
AUAUUUACAACAAAACGAAACGAAAUGAAUUUAAACAUUAGAAACAAAAGAAAGAAAACAGCUAAAUGCUCCAACGAUCCAAGUUGGACAACAAGCACAUCCAAGCACUUUCCUUCCCUUCCUUUGCUACGGCACAAGGUGUUGGUGAGUGUUUGAAGGUUUGUUUGUAUGGAGGAAUGGAUGUGAAGAUGAAUGGAUGUAUUUGGAUGAAGGUUAUGUUGAAAUGGGAGUGAAUGAUCUAACCAAGUAUGAACUCAAUUUAAGUUACACACACUUCCUUUUAUAGAGGAAGUGCAAGGCAAAGCAUGGGUAAAAUGGAGUGGUGUUGAAAUGAUUCAAAGGUGAAAGUGAAGUAAUGAUGCAAAGCAUGGGUAAAAUGGAGUGGAGUUGAAAUGAUUCAAAGGUGAAAGUGAAGUGAUGAUUGAUGCAAGAAUUAAACAUGGAUGGAGUGCACGGCAAAGGUUUGUUAUGGUACAAGGAACCCUUAGUUUGUGUCCUAAAAUGCAUAGGAAACCUUCAAUGUUGCUGGAACUUAAGGACAUUUAGGAUUUAGGAAAGAUCAAACCAAAAUAGGAAACCUUGGCUUAACUUUCCUACUUCAAGUAGGAAUCCUCAUCUUUAGGUCUUCAAUUUCGUCCAUUCCUUUAGUUCCAAGCAUGUGAUAUUUUUUCCAAGCCCAAAAUUGCUCCAAAAGGCUCCAAAAUGCACAUUUUUGCAUACUUUGUCUUUAGAACCUGAAAUUGCACAAAAAUGACUUUAAACACUAAAGCUACUAAGGAAUAACAAUAUAAAUGCAUGAGAACAAGCUAACUCAGUCGCAUAAAUAUGCUCUUAUCAAAUUCCCCCACACUUAGCUUUUGCUAGUCCUCGAGCAAAACAAAAGAAACAAACGAAUCAAAACAAACAGAACACAACUUAACCUUCCAACAUUUGCCUCAGGGAUUUCCAAUGCACAUGACAUGUUAAAAAUCAUCAUUCCCACAGCUUUUAGUCAUCUUCACACUUGAGCACAUACUUAAUUACAGUCACCACUUACUAGUUUGCAAUUAACCAAUUAAAACGAUAUUUUGAAUGUAGUAACAUGCCUUAGAGAAUUUGCUCAAUUCCUCACAAGAUACUCUCUAUUUUCACACACAUUUUCUGACUACACACCCUACACUAGUUAUAUGUGAGCAGAUUGAUGUAUACAUGGAAGACUAGUACUCACAUAUGUUAUAACAAAGAAAGCAAUUUAUGGAGUUAAUAAGCAUGUUUAGAUAUGAUCUCAUGAAUGGAAUGUUACUACUUAGAUGCGAGAACCAAUGACACCAUAUGCUCAUACCAAUUUCGAACUCACAAAUUGAAACACACAACACUCAAGAUUGAAGUCACGGGUUGUAACAGGGCUUGGGGUUAAUGGCUAAUAAAGAAAGGAUAGCAAUAAUAAACGUUCUUAAAGCGAUAGCAAGCAAAGCAAUGAAAUAGACACUUGGAAUUCACUUUAGAAUGCAAAAUCAACUUUUAAAUUCAAAGGGAAGAUUCAUGCAACACUUAGGGCCGAAUUCAAUGUUUUGGACCCUUUUUUAACAAACUUUUUUCUUUUCACUCUUUUUUUUUUUCCUUUUCUACCCGUGCCUUAUUAAGGACUUUGGUACACACACACACACAAGAAUCACUUCCCCCACACUUGCUUUCUGCAAUACAUUGAUAAAAAAAAGGAGUUCAUUCUAAGUUAUGCUUUACUAUGCUUGAAGAACAAGGGUAUGGAUGGUCCUAAAACUUGUUGUAAGUAUGCCCACAAAGCCACUCAUUUGAUGUAAUAGCUUUUUGGAAUACUUAAUGUAUUAAACUUUUAUAUGUUUAAUGAAGGGCAAAGCUUAUUAUUAAUCACUAUUUAUUGUAUCAUGUGUUUAAGCAAUAAGGGAAUCCUAGGGAUGUAUUUGAUCUA